GUUGGCUGCUGUGAGGACAAGGCAGAGUCAGUGCUUAGAGGAGCUUCUCUACAAGAAACAUCAAGGAGGUUUCCAGUUACUCAGCAUUGGCCCCAUUUCCAGUGAUGUGGUGGAACUCACUAUGACAGAGCCCAGCAAACAAGGGUGAAAGGCCUCUGUGACACUUGAAGAUGCUUAUAAAAAAUGUCUUUGGCAAAAUGUAUUUUGCUCAGGAAAUUCACUCAGGAUUUGCUGUAGCAGCAAACCAGGAGCAGAUGCUGUCAUGUGGCCACAGCUGCAAUGAAUGGCUGCCAGUGUUUUCUGCUGUCCUGAGUUGUGGUGCGCUCUGAGGGGGGAGGAUGCUGCAAGGACACCCCACCCAACGCAGCUGGUUCCUCACACUGCACAAAACCAACCCCAGCAUGUUCUUUUACACCCAUGUCUUUAAAAUGUGCCUCUUUCAGUAAGCUCAGUAACACCCACAGUGUGUUCAGUUCUCCUCACUCUCAAGGCUUUCCAGGAGGUUCACAGAUGCUCAGGUGGGUGGGUACUCUGUGGGACCAGCUGGAGGGCAAGGAUCCAAGGCCUCCCUUUACCCUCUGAGUCCCUCCCAGCUAUGGAAAAGCUGGUGGAAAACUAUGACAGGAGAGGGAUUCAUCAACACAAUUUGUCUCUAUUAACAGUUUUGUCAGUGUCCCACUCCCCAGAGGAAGGAGCACCCCUCAAUCCCUCACAGCUCUUCUCACCCCUUAAGGCCCAAUUUCCUCCCCAUAGAACUGAGGGUAGAAUCUGCCUGAAUUUCAUCCCAAUGUGACACCAGGGCACAAAGAGACCCACAGUGCCCUUGGCACUGCCACGUGCCACAGGACAGAGCAAGGAGGCAAUAGUGCCAGGGCAAUGGUGGCCACCACCCUGCCAGCCUUCUCAUCUGCGGGCACUGGCUGUGCAAGGACUCAAAUGUGCCCUGUGGAGAAGCCUGAAAGCUUCAAAAGCUUCUUGCUGCCCCAAAAUGUGAUGAAACCUGUAGGGGGAUAGAACAUAAGUAAAUAAAGGUAGUAUAGAAAGUAAUC
This is a long non-coding RNA of Zonotrichia leucophrys gambelii, 1049 nucleotides long. RefSeq lists it as uncharacterized. The transcript has 3 exons. The record is from RefSeq and is a predicted model, not a curated record. NCBI's taxonomy places the organism in Eukaryota, Metazoa, Chordata, Aves, Passeriformes, Passerellidae.